This 696-nucleotide ribosomal RNA is filed under the name Candolleomyces candolleanus. Its description in RNAcentral is "eukaryotic LSU rRNA". The stretch from base 292 to 445 matches the Rfam family "5.8S ribosomal RNA". The record is from RNAcentral. Lineage: Eukaryota; Fungi; Basidiomycota; Agaricomycetes; Agaricales; Psathyrellaceae.
AACAAGGUUUCCGUAGGUGAACCUGCGGAAGGAUCAUUAACGAAUAUCUAUGGCGUUGGUUGUAGCUGGCUCCUAGGAGCAUUGUGCACGCCCGUCAUUCAUAUCAUCUUUCCACCUGUGAACCAUGUGUAGGCCUGGAUACCCCUCGCCUUGGCAACAAAGCGGAUGCAAGGAUUGCUGCGUCGACAAGGCCGGCUCUCUUUGAAUUUCCAGGUUCUAUGUCUUUUACACACUCCAUUUGAAUGAUUUAGAAUGUAGUCAAUGGGCUUUCAUGCCUAUAAAAAACUAUACAACUUUCAGCAACGGAUCUCUUGGCUCUCGCAUCGAUGAAGAACGCAGCGAAAUGCGAUAAGUAAUGUGAAUUGCAGAAUUCAGUGAAUCAUCGAAUCUUUGAACGCACCUUGCGCUCCUUGGUAUUCCGAGGAGCAUGCCUGUUUGAGUGUCAUUAAAUUCUCAACCUCACCAGUUUUGUAACGAGACAGGUGAAGGCUUGGAUGUGGGGGUUUUGCAGGCUGCCUCAGUGCUGGUCUGCUCCCCUGAAAUGCAUUAGCGAGCUCAUAUUGAGCUUCCGUCUAUUGGUGUGAUAAUUAUCUACGCCGUGGAUUGGACUCAUGCUUGCUUCUAACCGUCCGCAAGGACAAUUUACUUGACCAAUUUGACCUCAAAUCAGGUAGGACUACCCCGCUGAACUUAAGC